GCCUGACUGGCUCAGUCAGUAGAGCACGUGACUCUUGAUCUCAGAGUCGUGGGUUCAAACCCUAUGUUGGGCA
This 73-nucleotide transfer RNA is filed under the name Felis catus (domestic cat). It matches the Rfam family "tRNA". Rfam says of the family: Transfer RNA (tRNA) molecules are approximately 80 nucleotides in length. Their secondary structure includes four short double-helical elements and three loops (D, anti-codon, and T loops). Further hydrogen bonds mediate the characteristic L-shaped molecular structure. tRNAs have two regions of fundamental functional importance: the anti-codon, which is responsible for specific mRNA codon recognition, and the 3' end, to which the tRNAs corresponding amino acid is attached (by aminoacyl-tRNA synthetases). tRNAs cope with the degeneracy of the genetic code in two manners: having more than one tRNA (with a specific anti-codon) for a particular amino acid; and 'wobble' base-pairing, i.e. permitting non-standard base-pairing at the 3rd anti-codon position. The record is from Rfam by way of RNAcentral. Lineage: Eukaryota; Metazoa; Chordata; Mammalia; Carnivora; Felidae.